This 949-nucleotide ribosomal RNA is filed under the name Russula sp. RNAcentral's name for it is "partial large subunit ribosomal RNA". It matches the Rfam family "Eukaryotic large subunit ribosomal RNA", at positions 52 to 980 of the family's 3401-position model. Lineage: Eukaryota; Fungi; Basidiomycota; Agaricomycetes; Russulales; Russulaceae. The record is from RNAcentral.
GGAGGAAGAACUAACAGGAUUCCCCUAGUAACUGCGAGUGAAGCGGGAAAAGCUCAAAUUUGAAAUCUGGUGGUCUUUGACCAUCCGAGUUGUAAUUUAGAGAAGCGUCUUCCGCGCUGGACCGUGCACAAGUCUCCUGGAAUGGAGCGUCGUAGAGGGUGAGAAUCCCGUCUUUGGCAUGGACACACCAGGGCUUUUGUGAUGCGCUCUCGAAGAGUCGAGUUGUUUGGGAAUGCAGCUCAAAAUGGGUGGUGAACUCCAUCUAAAGCUAAAUAUUGGCGAGAGACCGAUAGCGAACAAGUACCGUGAGGGAAAGAUGAAAAGCACUUUGGAAAGAGAGUGAAACAGUACGUGAAAUUGUUGAAAGGGAAACGCUUGAAGUCAGUCGCGUCGACCGAGACUCAGCCUCGCCUCGGCUUGGUGUACUUCUCGGCCGACGGGUCAGCAUCAAUUUUGCCUCUUGGACAAUGGCGGGGGAAAUGUGACACCUUUGCGGUGUGUUAUAGUCUCUCGUCGCAUGCAAGGGUCGGGAUUGAGGAACUCAGCACGCGCCUUCGGGUGUCGGGGCUUUGCCCACGAUACGUGCUUAGGAUGUUGGCGUAAUGGCUUUAAACGACCCGUCUUGAAACACGGACCAAGGAGUCUAACAUGCCUGCGAGUGUUCGGGUGGAAAACCCGUGCGCGCAAUGAAAGUGAAAGUUGGGACCUCUGUCGUGGAGGGCACCGACGCCCGGACCAGACCUUCUGUGACGGCUCUGCGGUAGAGCAUGCAUGUUAGGACCCGAAAGAUGGUGAACUAUGCCUGAAUAGGGUGAAGCCAGAGGAAACUCUGGUGGAGGCUCGUAGCGAUUCUGACGUGCAAAUCGAUCGUCAAAUUUGGGUAUAGGGGCGAAAGACUAAUCGAACCAUCUAGUAGCUGGGUUCCUGCCGAAUUUCCCCUCCCAAGGAA